Long non-coding RNA from Phragmites australis (common reed), 2031 nucleotides. RefSeq lists it as uncharacterized. NCBI's taxonomy places the organism in Eukaryota, Viridiplantae, Streptophyta, Magnoliopsida, Poales, Poaceae. The record is from RefSeq and is a predicted model, not a curated record. The transcript has 3 exons.
CUUCCCACCAACCCGCCCCACCCCACACAAGGACCCAUCGAGGAACCCUCGCCUCCUCUCCCCUCUGCCGCCUCUGAUCCCGUCGCCGAUGGAGACCUCGGCAGCUGCCUCCGCGCUGCCCACCCCGGUCUCCACGCCCUACUCGCGCCUCGCCUCCACACCGUCCUCCGCCCUCUCCGCCAGGCCGCUGCACCCCACCCCUGCCGCCGCCGCCUCCCGCACCAACGACUUGCCAGAAUCGUAGCCCUAAAUACGUCCCCACUGCCCUACCUCUCCCGGAGAGGACCCUCGAUCCCCACCUGAUGAAGCCCUUUCUGCUUUCUUUUCUCCGGUCCCGGGUGCCUUCACUUCGUCGCCGGCGUGACGGUAGCGGCUUCAUGUCGAGCUUGCUCCGCCUGUGGGAGGGGGGGGGGGGUGGCCGGUGCUUCGGUCGACCCCCACCCAUGUCUCCUUCGGUUUCGUCGUCAAUGCCGGGUUCCGAGUGUGCGCUGGGGGCUGGGGUGCCUCUGUGUCCCAACUUUGAUGUCGUGCGCAAGGUGUUUGCGCUAUUGCCGUCAGGCGUUGGACGCGUUGGCCGACUCAGCGGAGGCUCCUGCUGCCAACGCGGUGGAGAGACGCAAGAGAUCAGACGUGACUCGGCGGAGGCUCCUGCUACCAACUCGAUGGAGAGACGCGAAGACAUCUCCGGCUUGACGUGUCGACCGUGUCAGGGGCGGCUCCUGCUGUGGGCUUCUCCAGAGUGUCCUGUCGGAGAUCUGCCGGCCCGCGCAUUGAACUCUCGGUGGCGACAAGGAAGAUUAUCUGAAAAUCAAUGUGGAUGAAUCCUACCAGGAGAAUGCAAGCUCAAGUGGCUGGGGCCUCGUUAUCUGAUUGAUGGAAGUGAUGCGCCUCUCCUAUGACAUUGAUGCUGGAAUGAUUUGGGUGAAGCUGAAGACUGAUGCAAGCAGUCUGAAAACAGCUCUGACUUCCUCGACUUGCUAUUAUCCGAUCGUUACAGUUGGAACCUGCCACCAGAUUCAGUUUUACUGCUAAUAUGAAACUCAGCAAGCCAUAGUCGUAGGCUCCGCCGCCAUUAAAAAAAGGCGCUUUGCAUCAAGGUUUAUACUACUAAUAAUACGACAUAGAUGUGAUGGCAGCAGUGCCUAUAAUGGAAGUGAUCAUUUAAAUAGCUACCAUUUAGUAUCAAUUUCUUUUAGAACAAUUGCAAAGAAACCACUACUCCUGGUGUUAUUGUAAGCUUGCCACUAGAAAAUUGCAAAAAUACCAUUAAAACUGUCAUUCGAGUGGUAUCCUUGCAAAAAAUAAAAAACCAGGGAGGUAUUUGCAAAUGCCCCAUUUCUUUUACGUACUCACAUAAUAUGUUCCUGUUGCACAGGUACAAUCAAUGAUUCUUUAGGGAGGCAAAUGUUUCAAUCGAUGAUACGUGCAUGGUCAAUGGUGGAAUGCAAAGGUCAGAUGUGGAAGAUGUCGGCGCGGAAUAUGGCUUUGUGUUAGCACCAGGUGCAAAAAAGACCAGAUGGCUAGGCCUAUCGAUUCCUGAGCACUAAUACAACCAUUUUAUACCAUUGGUCAUCAACACUUUGUAAUCUGGAGCCAGAUACUUGGAAUGAGAUCCUUGCAGCCCAGUUGUAGCCUGUAGAUGAUUCAUGAUUGGGCAAAGAGCUAAUUGUCGAACUAGUUAAGCUCUUAUAUACAAUGAUUAGUAUUUUCUUAGCCUUUACUGCAGAGAUAUCCUGCUGUCAAGAAACACCAGGCAGCAGUAGAUUAUUUCGGAAGCGUGCUUUGUUGUAGCUAUAAGCCUAUGAGUUGGUUUUGUUGUGUAACAAGUUGUAUUUGCUUUACUGUGCAUGUUAGUUGUGUGUAUUGACCUUCAUUACUCAUUACCAAGCAGGAGUUUAUCUUGAACAAAACUUGUUUUUGAGGUGGACCACGCUGGUUGUAGCGUUCAGUCGUAUGGGAACUCUGUUUGGAAAGAAAUGUAUUUCUGAUCCAUGAGGUGUGAUUGGUGUGAGACAAAUUUGGGAUUGUUAC